GAGGGUAUAGCUCAGUGGUAGAGCACAUGCUUAGCAUGCACAAGGUCCUGGGUUCAAUCCCCAGUACUUCCA
Molecule: transfer RNA, 72 nt
Organism: Camelus ferus (Wild Bactrian camel)
Lineage: Eukaryota; Metazoa; Chordata; Mammalia; Artiodactyla; Camelidae
Rfam family: tRNA
About the family: Transfer RNA (tRNA) molecules are approximately 80 nucleotides in length. Their secondary structure includes four short double-helical elements and three loops (D, anti-codon, and T loops).
Source: Rfam